UACAGAGGUCCCAAGCGUUGUUCGGAUUCAUUGGGCGUAAAGGGUGCGUAGGUGGCGCCGUAAGUCAGGUGUGAAAUCUCGGGGCUCAACCCCGAAACUGCACUUGAUACUGCGGUGCUCGAGUACUGGAGAGGAGAUUGGAAUUUACGGUGUAGCAGUGAAAUGCGUAGAUAUCGUAAGGAAGACCAGUGGCGAAGGCGAAUCUCUGGACAGUUACUGACACUGAGGCACGAAGGCCAGGGGAGCAAACGGG
RNAcentral lists this ribosomal RNA (253 nucleotides) under uncultured bacterium. Its description in RNAcentral is "partial 16S ribosomal RNA". It matches the Rfam family "Bacterial small subunit ribosomal RNA", at positions 524 to 776 of the family's 1533-position model. The record is from RNAcentral.